GACGAACGCUGGCGGCGUGCUUAACACAUGCAAGUCGAACGAAGUGGCGAACGGGUGAGUAAUACGUGGGUAACCUGCCCUCCUUUUUGGGAUAAGCCUUGGAAACGGGGUCUAAUACCGAAUAAAGGGGGAUGGGCUCGCGGCCUAUCAGCUUGUUGGUGGGGUGAUGGCCUACGAAGGCGGUGACGGGUAGCCGGCCUGAGAGGGUGACCGGACACAUUGGGAGGGAGAUACGGCCCAGGAUCGGACGGGAGGCAGCAGUGGGGGAUAGGGCACAAUGGGCGUAAGCCCGAGGCAGGGACGCGGCGUGGGGGAUGAAGGCUUAAGGGUUGUAAACCGCUUACGCUAUCGAAAGGGUAGGUGGAGAAGAAGCGCCGGCUAACUACGUGCCAGCAGCCGCGGUAAUUC
This 408-nucleotide ribosomal RNA is filed under the name uncultured bacterium. RNAcentral's name for it is "partial 16S ribosomal RNA". It matches the Rfam family "Bacterial small subunit ribosomal RNA", at positions 28 to 526 of the family's 1533-position model. The record is from RNAcentral.